AGAGUUUGAUCAUGGCUCAGAUUGAACGCUGGCGGCAGGCCUAACACAUGCAAGUCGAGCGGUAGAGAGAAGCUUGCUUCUCUUGAGAGCGGCGGACGGGUGAGUAAUGCCUAGGAAUCUGCCUGGUAGUGGGGGAUAACGUUCGGAAACGGACGCUAAUACCGCAUACGUCCUACGGGAGAAAGCAGGGGACCUUCGGGCCUUGCGCUAUCAGAUGAGCCUAGGUCGGAUUAGCUAGUUGGUGAGGUAAUGGCUCACCAAGGCGACGAUCCGUAACUGGUCUGAGAGGAUGAUCAGUCACACUGGAACUGAGACACGGUCCAGACUCCUACGGGAGGCAGCAGUGGGGAAUCUUGCGCAAUGGGCGAAAGCCUGACGCAGCGACGCCGCGUGAGUGAUGAAGGCCCUAGGGUUGUAAAGCUCUGUGGAGGGGGACGAAUAAGCGGCGGUUAACACCCGCUGUGAUGACGGUACCCCUUUAGCAAGCACCGGCUAACUCUGUGCCAGCAGCCGCGGUAAU
RNAcentral lists this ribosomal RNA (520 nucleotides) under uncultured Gammaproteobacteria bacterium. RNAcentral's name for it is "bacterial SSU rRNA". It matches the Rfam family "Bacterial small subunit ribosomal RNA", at positions 8 to 524 of the family's 1533-position model. The record is from RNAcentral. Lineage: Bacteria; Pseudomonadati; Pseudomonadota; Gammaproteobacteria.